GAUGAACGCUGGCGGCGUGCCUAAUACAUGCAAGUCGAGCGAACGGACGAGAAGCUUGCUUCUCUGAUGUUAGCGGCGGACGGGUGAGUAACACGUGGAUAACCUACCUAUAAGACUGGGAUAACUUCGGGAAACCGGAGCUAAUACCGGAUAAUAUUUUGAACCGCAUGGUUCAAAAGUGAAAGACGGUCUUGCUGUCACUUAUAGAUGGAUCCGCGCUGCAUUAGCUAGUUGGUAAGGUAACGGCUUACCAAGGCAACGAUGCAUAGCCGACCUGAGAGGGUGAUCGGCCACACUGGAACUGAGACACGGUCCAGACUCCUAAGGGAGGCAGCAGUCGGGAAUCUUCCGCAAUGGGCGAAAGCCUGACGGAGCAACGCCGCGUGAGUGAUGAAGGUCUUCGGAUCGUAAAACUCUGUUAUUAGGGAAGAACAUAUGUGUAAGUAACUGUGCACAUCUUGACGGUACCUAAUCAGAAAGCCACGGCUAACUACGUG
This 497-nucleotide ribosomal RNA is filed under the name uncultured bacterium. Its description in RNAcentral is "partial 16S ribosomal RNA". It matches the Rfam family "Bacterial small subunit ribosomal RNA", at positions 28 to 507 of the family's 1533-position model. The record is from RNAcentral.